This 28-nucleotide ribosomal RNA is filed under the name Beauveria bassiana. RNAcentral describes it as "partial 28S ribosomal RNA". The record is from RNAcentral. Lineage: Eukaryota; Fungi; Ascomycota; Sordariomycetes; Hypocreales; Cordycipitaceae.
ACUACCCGCUGAACUUAAGCAUAUCAAU